UAGGGAAUAUUAGUAAUGGGCGAAAGCCUGAACUAGCAACACCGCGUGUGCGAAGAAGGCCUUCGGGUUGUAAAGCACUUUUUGAGAGGAUGAGGAAGGACGGUACUCUCAGAAUAAGUCUCGGCUAACUACGUGCCAGCAGCCGCGGUAACACGUAGGAGGCAAACGUUAUCCGGAUUUACUGGGCGUAAAGCGCGUGUAGGUGGUUCUGUAAGUAGGGCGUGAAAGCUCCUGGCUCAACUGGGCGAGGCCUUUCUAAACUGCAGAGCUAGAGGAUGGUAGAGGGAGGUGGAAUUCCGGGUGUAGCGGUGGAAUGCGCAGAUAUCCGGAGGAACACCAGUGGCGAAAGCGGCCUCCUGGACCAUUCCUGACACUCAGACGCGAAAGCUAGGGUAGCAAACG
RNAcentral lists this ribosomal RNA (402 nucleotides) under uncultured prokaryote. Its description in RNAcentral is "bacterial SSU rRNA". It matches the Rfam family "Bacterial small subunit ribosomal RNA", at positions 355 to 774 of the family's 1533-position model. The record is from RNAcentral.